GUGCCAGCAGCCGCGGUAAUACGUAGGGUGCAAGCGUUGUCCGGAUUUAUUGGGCGUAAAGAGCUCGUAGGCGGCACAGUAGGUCAGAAGUUAAAACGCAGGGCUCAACCCUGCGUCGCUUUUGAAACCGCUGAGCUUGAGUAUGGCAGGGGAAGACGGAAUUCCACGUGUAGCGGUGAAAUGCGCAGAUAUGUGGAGGAACACCAAUGGCGAAGGCAGUCUUCUGGGCCAUCACUGACGCUGAGGAGCGAAAGCGUGGGGAGCGAACAGGAUUAGAUACCCUGGUAGUCC
This 291-nucleotide ribosomal RNA is filed under the name uncultured bacterium. RNAcentral describes it as "partial 16S ribosomal RNA". It matches the Rfam family "Bacterial small subunit ribosomal RNA", at positions 505 to 796 of the family's 1533-position model. The record is from RNAcentral.